GAUUGCGGCUAUGAUGAUAAAUGUUUAAUACCCAGCUCAUUAUGAGUUCUUUUUGAAGAACAGGGAAUUGAAUAUUUUUCCAACAUUUAUCUGAGCUUACUU
Small nucleolar RNA from Amaranthus tricolor (Joseph's coat), 102 nucleotides. The record is from RefSeq and is a predicted model, not a curated record. Lineage: Eukaryota; Viridiplantae; Streptophyta; Magnoliopsida; Caryophyllales; Amaranthaceae.